AAAAUGACUUUCUCUCUCUUACUUUACUCUUUCUCAAUCACCCACACGAUUUCAUCCUUCCAAUUUCUUCUUCACUCCUCAUUCUCAUCUAACAAUCUUGCCUUUCUUCUCUGAACAGUCGCUGCCACCACCACCACCAUCGUCCCUCGUGCCCAGCCCGUGCCCGCCACCACCGUCGUCACUCCUCACGUUCUUCAAACACUGUUAUGCUUGCCACCACUGUCGGGAGUCCUUUUCUUCAACCAUGUUCAUGUCCAGCCCUCGCUACCACCGUCGCCGUCUGCGUUUAUAUCACAAGCUCCGAUCUGGUUGGCUUGUGGCCAGAUCUGUUGAAAAUCAGUAGCAUUUUUCAAAACUAAAUAUUAUUGUUUGCUUUUAGUCAUCUUACUUCUAAUAAUAAGAUAUUUCAGAGUACCGGAACAUUUUUCGCAGCAUCAAGAUAUGGCAGUGCGACUCCAGUGCCUGCAUCCAUCAUCAGCCGGGGUAGUGGUUGGCUGGGUUUUUGAAGGGUAGCUGAAAACCAAGAAAAUAGCCAGAAAAAUCACCGGAAGCUUGCUGAAAGUACAAGAGAUUUCAAGAAGGCUCAACCAGAGGAAAAAUUGAACUUGUUUAGUUCUCUACUUAAAAGUUACCAAGAAGAAGUUGACAAUCUCACGAAGAGGGCAAAGUUUGGAGAAAAUGCUUUUCUUAACAUUUAUCAAAAACUUUAUGAGGCUCCAGAUCCUUACCCUGCUCUUGCUUCAAUUGGUGAACAAGAUUUGAAGUUGUCUGAAUUAAUUAGAAUCUGAGAAUAGGAAAAUGAAAGUUGAGCUUGAAGAGUUUAGAAUAGAAGCAACUCAUUUAAAAAAUCAGCAGGCCACUAUUAGAAGACUUGAAGAGCGCAAUCGGCAAUUGGAGCAACAGAUGGAGGAGAAAAUAAAGGAAAUUGUGGAAAUCAAGCAACGCAGUUUGGCUGAAGAAAACCAGAAGGCAUUAGAUGCAAUAAAAGAAAGGCUGUAGGUUAUAACUCAAUUGAGGCUGAAGAUUGGGAAGUUGCCACCAGUGGGGAAGGAUGAGCAAAAUGGAGUCUCUUCUUCUUGAUAAGAACCGAAAAAUGGAACAUGAACUUACACAGUUUAAGAUAAUUGAAGUCAUAUCGGGUUGAAAGCUAAGCGAUUGUGCAGAGAUGGCCAAGCGACCAUUGAAAAUUGAAGAUUGAGAAGGCAUUUUAGGAUUUUUAAUUAUUUAAUUCUUGUAUUAGAAUCUUUUUUCAUGUACUAUCAUAGAAUAUAUAAACAUAAUAUUAAGAUUUUAUUUUGUGUAUGUACAAGACAAAUAUUAUAGUUUCUAACAUAAUAUGAAUUUCAUUGAUUUGUUGGCAUGUGAAAAA
Long non-coding RNA from Cucumis melo (muskmelon), 1369 nucleotides. RefSeq lists it as uncharacterized. The record is from RefSeq and is a predicted model, not a curated record. Lineage: Eukaryota; Viridiplantae; Streptophyta; Magnoliopsida; Cucurbitales; Cucurbitaceae. The transcript is spliced from 7 exons.